ACUCAAAUGAAUUGACGGGAGCCCGCACAAGCGGUGGAGCGUGUGGUUUAAUUCGAUGGUAAGCGAGGAACCUUACCAGGUCUAGAAAUCUGGCUGCACACCCGAUGAAAGUCGGGAGCCUACGAGGGUGCCAGACAGGUGCUGCACGGUUGUCGUCAGCUCGUGUUGUGAAAUGUUCCCUUCAGUGGGGUAACGAGCGCAACCCUCAUUGCGUGUUGAAUGUCACGCGAGACUGCCGUGGUUAACACGGAGGAAGGUGGGGAUGACGUCAAAUCAGCGUGGUCCUCUGACGACCUGGGCGACACACGCGCUACAAUGGCUGGGACAAUGAGCUUUUUGCAAACCCGCGAGGGGGAGCUAAUCUCCUAAACCCAGUCUCAGUUCGGAUUGGAGUCUGCAACUCGACUCCAUGAAGCUGGAAUCGCUAGUAACCGUGGAUCAGCCUCGCCACGGUGAAUACGUUCUCGGGCUUUGUACACACCGCCCGU
This 488-nucleotide ribosomal RNA is filed under the name uncultured bacterium. RNAcentral's name for it is "partial 16S ribosomal RNA". It matches the Rfam family "Bacterial small subunit ribosomal RNA", at positions 899 to 1397 of the family's 1533-position model. The record is from RNAcentral.